Molecule: long non-coding RNA, 1013 nt
Filed under: Ananas comosus (pineapple)
Lineage: Eukaryota; Viridiplantae; Streptophyta; Magnoliopsida; Poales; Bromeliaceae
Description: long non-coding RNA (ACOM_LNC004728)
Source: RNAcentral
AAAUUUCAGACACCACCCUAUAGUUUCGCAUGAUCUUACUUUAGUACUCUAUAGUUUAAAGUGUAUCAAGUUAGUGUGCUGUAAUUUUAUUUUUAUUUUUUUCGUCAGCUUCUUCUUUAAUAUUUCGCUAAAUUAUAUACAAAAAAUUUUAGAUACCCCAUCCAGGUUUAUCGAAUAUUCAUUUUAGUACCUUUUAGUUUUAACUUUGUCACUGGUUUAACGAAAAAAAUUAGUAGAAUCGAUAAUAAAAAGAUAAAAAUAAAACUAUAGAACUCUAAAUUAAGAUAUUUUAAAGUACAUGGUACUUAAAUGAGAAAGUGUGAAAUCACAGAAAGAGUAUUUGAAGUUUUUCCAAAAGAAAAAGAAAAAUUUGAGUGAGGAGCUGCCCAACAAGGACGGAAAGCUCCUCAGAUGUUGCCACAUUGUUCAAGUCGGACGCAUUUUAAAUAAACAGCUUAGGAAGACGGGCAAUACAGUCCAAUCUACUUAGGUACCGUUUAGUUGAAUAUAAUUGCAACUGUACUGUAGUUAUAAUUACAUAUAAAUACACAUUUAGUAUUUUGUUUGAUAUAUUUAACUCCGACUCCUGCAAUUCCUACUACAGAAAGAGGCCCAACUGCAGCAAUUGAAACUACGUCCAAAUUGACUAUAUUUUCAACUGCAGCAGUUGGAAACAGAAAAGUUAUGCUUACCUCUUUAAUUAACUUGCAAAAAUAUUUUUUUUUUAUGUUGGAGGUAAUCUUACCGUUAUAUAUAUAAAUGAUAAAGUUUUAAAAAUUAUUUUUCAACUGUAUGUAACCAAAUAAAUUAUUUAUAGUUAUAUCACUUUCUAUCACAUUCAGCCAAACAUAACGCAUGUACUGCUGCAUUUUCAACUGCAUGCAUCUUCAACUAUACUAUAUUUGUAAGCUAUGAGUUUAAUGAUUGAUAUUAUUUUACACGAUUAUUUCUAAGAAAAUAAAUAAAAUGGAUAAUUUGCUAAUUUUCUCUUAAAAGAAUCAACCAACUUUAUU